CUGUUUACCUGGCCAGGGAGAUACCAUAGUCCCAAAGGUGGUUUUCCCAGGCAAAGCUCAUCCAUUACAUUCAGAAUGUGCUGACCCUUGCAAUUUCCCCAAAUGUGGGAAACUCAACCACAUAAUGUGUGGUAAUGGGGGACUGUGUUCUUGUUCUCCCUUG
This is a small nuclear RNA of Sorex fumeus (smoky shrew), 163 nucleotides long. RefSeq annotates it as U1 spliceosomal RNA. NCBI's taxonomy places the organism in Eukaryota, Metazoa, Chordata, Mammalia, Eulipotyphla, Soricidae. The transcript has a single exon. The record is from RefSeq and is a predicted model, not a curated record.